GAUGAACGCUGGCGGCGUGCCUAAUACAUGCAAGUAGAACGCUGAAGCUUGGUGCUUGCACCGAGCGGAUGAGUUGCGAACGGGUGAGUAACGCGUAGGUAACCUGCCUCUUAGCGGGGGAUAACUAUUGGAAACGAUAGCUAAUACCGCAUAAAAGUCGAUAUCGCAUGAUAUUGAUUUGAAAGGUGCAAAUGCAUCACUAAGAGAUGGACCUGCGUUGUAUUAGCUAGUUGGUGAGGUAACGGCUCACCAAGGCGACGAUACAUAGCCGACCUGAGAGGGUGAUCGGCCACACUGGGGCUGAGACACGGCCCAGACUCCUACGGGAGGCAGCAGUAGGGAAUCUUCGGCAAUGGGGGCAACCCUGACCGAGCAACGCCGCGUGAGUGAAGAAGGUUUUCGGAUCGUAAAGCUCUGUUGUAAGAGAAGAACGAGUGUGAGAGUGGAAAGUUCACACUGUGACGGUAACUUACCAGAAAGGGACGGCUAACUACGUG
RNAcentral lists this ribosomal RNA (497 nucleotides) under uncultured bacterium. RNAcentral's name for it is "partial 16S ribosomal RNA". It matches the Rfam family "Bacterial small subunit ribosomal RNA", at positions 28 to 507 of the family's 1533-position model. The record is from RNAcentral.